Molecule: RNA transcript, 11767 nt
Organism: Mus musculus (house mouse)
Lineage: Eukaryota; Metazoa; Chordata; Mammalia; Rodentia; Muridae
Gene: Zfp781a
Gene name: RIKEN cDNA D130040H23 gene
Exons: 6
Source: RefSeq, marked validated
ACCUCCAGUCAGAAGGGGAGGCGGGCUCUUCCGGGGGACUUUCUGCAGGCUGGAAUCUGAAGCUUCCUUAGUGCUAGUGGUUCUUUGCCACUACCUGCGGCUUAAGCGCGAGCCUGGGAGAGAAGAUAUGUAGUCAGAAGAUGGCCUCAGAACCUCUAAGCUUGGAGUUAUUGACAGUUGCGAGCCCCCAUGAUUCAGUAACCUACGAUGAUGUGCAUGUAAACUUCACUGGGGAAGAGUGGGUCUUGCUGGAUGCUUCCCAGAAGAGUCUCUACAGAGAUGUGAUGCUGGAGACCUACAGCAACCUCACUGCUAUAGGUUACAAAUGGAAAGACAAUGAUAUUGAAGAACAUUUUUGUCAAAAUUCUAGAAUACAUAGAAGGCAUGAAAGAGGUCCUGGAGAGAAACCCUAUGAAUAUACUCAGUGUGGUAAAGCCUUUGCACAACACAGUCAUCUUCAAGGGCAUGAAAGAAUUCUUACUGGAAAGAAACCCUAUGAAUGUAAUCAAUGUGGUAAAGCCUUUAUAUGUCACAGUAGUCUUUCAAAUCAUGAAAAGCAUCAUACUGGAGAGAAACCAUACAAAUGUAUUGAAUGUGGUAAAGCCUUUUCACAACAGAGUCACCUCCAGAUACAUAAAAGAAUACAUACUGGAGAGAAGCCCUAUGAAUGUAAUCAGUGUGCUAAAGCCUUUUCACAACAGAGCCAUCUCCAGAAACAUAAAAGAACACAUACUGGAGAGAAGCCCUACAAAUGUAAUCAAUGUAAUAAAGACUUUUCACAACAAAGUCAUCUCCAAAUCCAUAGAAGAACACAUACUGGAGAGAAACCCUACAAAUGUAAUCAAUGUGAUAAAGUCUUUUCACAACAAACUCAUCUCCAAAGACAUAAAAGAACACAUACUGGAGAGAAGCCCUACAAAUGUAAUCAAUGUGGUAAAGCCUUUGCUCAUCACAGUUAUCUUGAAAAACAUCAAAGAACACACACUGGAGAGAAACCUUAUCAAUGCAACCAAUGUGGUAAAGCCUUUGCACAUCACAGUUAUCUCCAAAAACAUAAAAGAACACACACUGGAGAGAAACCUUAUCAAUGCAAUCAAUGUGGUAAAACUUUUGCAUGUCACAGAAGUCUUCAAAUUCAUGAAAGAAUUCAUACUGGAGAGAAACCUUAUGAAUGUUGUCAAUGUGGUAAGACCUUUGCACAUCACAAUUAUCUCCGAAACCAUAAAAGAACACAUACUGGAGAGAACCCCUACAAAUGUAAGGAAUGCGGUAAAGCCUUUGCAUGUCACAGUCAUCUUCAAAGGCAUGAAAGAGUUCAUACUGGAGAGAAACCCUAUGAGUGUAGUCAAUGUGGUAAAGCCUUUGCAUGUCACAGCAGUCUUCAAAAUCAUGAAAAAAAUCAUAUUGAAGAGAAACUCUAUGAAUUAUGUAAGCAAUAUGGUAACGCCUUUGUACAUCACAGUUAUCUCUGAAAACAUAAAACACAAAAGAAUAUAUUCUACAGAAUAUAAUCAGGAUUUUAAAGUCAUGUCACAGUUGUCUUUGAGGACAUGAAAGAACUCAUACUGAAAGGAAUCUCUGACUAUAAAGUGUUUAGUGAGAUCUGUAGCCAACACACUUCCAUCCGGGACAGAAUAUUAUUUACUAGGGAGAAAAUAAUCUGAGAUGUGUCCACAAUAUUUUCAAGGCGUUUGCCUGUCUUUACUUUGUAUCUACAAACUCUUAUGGACAAAAGCCGUAUGGAUGUAAAUUAAAAGAUAUCCAAUUUAGGUCUCACACUUCUUUUUGAUGACAUGAAAUAGCUCAUCCAGAUAUGAAACUUUAUGGAUGCCAGAUAUGAAACUUUAUGGAUGUGUUUUAGUAAAUUUUCUGAGCUAUGAGAAAACACAAUGUCUAAGGCAGUUUAUAAAAAAAACCAUUAAUUUAGUUUAUGGUUCCAGACGGAUGUGGGAUCACCAUCAAAGAGCCAGGGCAAUGAGCGCCAGGCGUGGCAGCUAAGGUGUGAAGUUAAAAGUUCACCUCUUCAACUUGAAGCAUGAAGCAGACAGGAGGAGCUGGAAGGCGUGUGAGGAUUUAAGCUCUCAAAGCCCAUCCCCCAGUGACAUGUUUCCUCCAGAAGGGUGGCAUUUACUAAAUCUUCCCAAAUGACACCCCCAACUGUGGGGUGUUGAUUCUCUGACUUUAAGUCUACAUGCUUGCUUUUUAUUAGGGUAACCAAUCCACAGGGAAGAAAAUCCCUGUAGACAGGAGCCUAGCAUGGCUGUCUUCUGAGAAGGUCUACCAGCAGCUGACUGAGACAGAUGCAGAUAAUUACAUUACAGAUAAUUGGACUAAGGUCAAGGACCCCUAUUGAAGAGUUAGGAGAAAGAUCAAAGGAACUGAAGGGGAUGAAAGGAGCUACCCCACAUGAAGACCAACAGCAGUGUCAACUAACCUGGACCCCUGAAUACUCCCAGAAACAACAACCAAAGAACAUACAUGGGCUUAUUCAAGGCCUGUGGCACAUAUCUAGCAGAGAACUGAUUGCCUUGAGUAUCCCCAGAGGGAGAGGAUGUGCCCAGUUCUGUAGAGACUAUAUACCAGGUAGAUACCUGGGGAGGUCACCCUCUCAGAGGUAAAAUGGAGGGAAGACAGAGUGGGGAAUUCUGGGAGGGGGUAAUGGGAGAUGGGGCAAUAUUUGGGAUGAAAAUAAAUAUGUGAUAAAAAAAAAAACAGAACAAACACUGCCAAAUUCAUUCUAGGAGGCCACAGUUACCCUAAUAACUUAAUGGUGAGGUUUGGUCUGUUGCUAUGUAUUGUAAUGCUAAAUUCUCUAUCACAAGGUCUAAUUGCCUUAAGGCAAUGCAACCCUCUGGUAUACUAAUUUUUGUUGUACAAAUCUUGCCCUGUAAGUUAUCUUGUUAAUAAAGAUGCCUUCAGGCUCUAGUUGGACAGAAAAGAGUUAGGUGGGGCUUUGGUUCCUGGGAUUGAGGCCUGAGGCAGAGUCCAUGAAGGAGAGAGAAAAGAAGAAGGAAUGAGGCAUGCUAGGGUGCGUGAAUUGUGAGCACAUGGUCAUGUGGGCUGCUACAUGGAGUAGGAGCAGCCCAGGGAAAACAUGGCAAGUGAUAUCUCAGGAUUAUUGACAGGAAAAUAGACAAAGUAACAAAGAGGGUUGAUAUCUGCCUAGCUCUAGUGCUUUAAGGCUUAUUAUAAAUAGAAAGGUUUUGUGUCUUUUAUAUGGGAACUAAAUGACCUAAGGUGGAGUCAAAACCUCCAAAUAAUUUUACUACAACAGCUAAACCACAAAAUGGCACAACAAAGAAAGAGAAUUUCAGACCAAUCCCCCUAUGAACAUUCACAUAAAAAUAAUAAAAUAUUUGCACACUAAAUCUAAGAACACAUCAAAAACAUCAUCCAUCAUAAUCAAGUAAACUUCAUUACACAAAUGGAGGGAUGGGUCAACAUGAAAAUCUACCAUUUAAUGCAACAUAUAAACAAAAUGAAUUUAAAUAAAACCACACAUUAUUAUCUCAUUAGAUUCUGAAAAAACCCUUUGAAAAAAAAUCCAAUACCCUUUCAUGAUAAAAAGUCUUGGAGAGAUCACAAGGCACACAUCUAAACACAAGAAAGGCAAUAUACAGCAAGCCAAUAGCUAACCUCAAACUAAAUGGAAACAAACUUAAAGCAAUCCCACUAAAUCGGGGACAAGGCAAGGCUGCCCACUCUCUCUCUGUCUAUUCAAUAUAGUACUUGAAGUUUGGCUAGAGCAAUAAGAAAACUAAAAGAGAUCAAAGGGAUAAAAAUUGGAAAGCAAUAAGUCAAAACAUCUUUAUUUGCAGAUGAUAUGAUAGUAUACACAAGGGACCCCCAAAAUUUACCAGGGAACUCCAACAACUGAUAAACACCACCAGCAAAGUGGCUAAAAACAAAAUUAACUAAAAAAAAAUUAGUAGCCUUAUUUAUACAAAUAAUCAAUAGUCUGAAGAAGAAAUUAUGGAAAAAACACAUUUUACAAUAGACACAAAUAACAUAAAAUAUCUUGGUAUAACUCUAACCAAUAGAGUGAAAGACCUGUAUAGCAAGAACUUCAAGUCAUUGAAGAAAGAAAUUGAAGAAUGUGUCAGAAGAUGGAAAAUCUCCCAUACUCUUGGACUGGUAGGAUUAACAUGGUAAAAAUGGGCACCACACCAAAAGCAAUGGACAGAUUCAGUGCAAUUCCCAUCAAAAUUGGAAGACAAUCCAUUACAUACCUUGAAAGGACAAUGAAGAACUUUCAGGGGUAUGACCAUCCCUCAUCAAAAGCUGAAUUACAGAACAAUUGUAAAAAUCCACAUAGUAUCGACCUAAAAACAAGCAAGCUGAUCAUUGAACUCAAAUCGAAAACCCAGAAGUAAAGCCACACACAUAUGAAAAAUUGAUUUUGGACAAAGAAACCUGAACUAUACAAUGGAACAAAGAAAGCAUCUUCAACAAAUGGAGCUGGUCCGACUGGAUGUCUGAAUAUAGAAGACUACAAAUAGAUACAUAUCUAGUAUCCUGUACAAAUCCAAAUGGAUCUAAAACCUCAACAUAAAACAUGAUAUACUAAAUCUAAUAGAAGAGAAAGUGGGGGAAUAGCUUUGAAUACACUGUCACAGGAGAUAACUUCCUGAGCAGAACACAAGUAGUUUGGGUGCUAAGAUCAACAAUUAAUAAACUGGACUUCAUGAAACUUAAAAGCUUCUGUAAGGCAAAGAACACUGUCAAAAGGACAACACAGUUGCCAAUAGAAUGGGAAAUGAUCUUUACAAAACCAGCAUUUCACAGAGGGCUGAUAUCACAACUAUUUAAACAACUGAAGAAAUGAGAUGCAAACAAAUGAAACAACCCAAUUUAAAAAUGGGUACAGAGCUAAACAGAGAAUUCUAAACAGAUAAAUCUUUAAUGACUGAGAGGCACUUAAAGAAAUAUUCAACAUCCUUACUCAUCAGGGAAAUGCAAAUGAAAACCACUCUAGAAUUCCGUCUUACACCUAUUGUAGGAUCCAAAAUAAGUUCAAGACCACCUAGCCCCUUCCCCUCUGAAGGAACUUUCAGAAACAUAGCAGUCAAAAUGACUAAGUCUACAGCUACCAAAACAAAAUGGGCUGUUCUCAGAAAAAUAACCAUAACGAGAUUAGCAAUUCCCAGAGAAAUUCCCCUAUCCUUCCCACACUGAAUUCUGAGAAAAAACUACAAACCACCCUGACCUUGUCGAUAGCUGUAACAUUAAUAGCUGACCCAUAAGUUUGAAUUGUACUGCUGCUUUGCUGACCAAAUCAUAAUAACCCACCAUAAGGGCAGGCAAAGUGAGUCACUAGGCCAAAGGUAGUCACCAAGCAUUGCCUGAAAAGGUUACUUGCUACACCAAUGAAAAUAAGCCAGCUAGCUCUGUUGCUUAAAUCUGCCCCUUACAAGGUACAAAAAGUGUGUUCUUUCUUUGUUCUGGGUCUCUCCUCUGACCUGCAUGCUGGGGGGGCAGGUCCCCAAUGUGUUGGAUCAAUAAAAACCCUCUUGCAUUUUGCAGCAAUGGUGGUCUUUGUGGUCUUUGUGAGUGAGUGUCUUUUGACUUCAACACCAUCAGGAUGAAUAAGAUGAAAAUCUCAAGUGACAGACCAUACUGUCAAUGAUAUGUCUGAGGGCUUUACUGCUGUUUGGGAGUGCAAACUUGUACAAUCACUUUGGAAAUCAAUUUGGUGGUGUCUUAGGGUUUCAUUGCUGUGAAGAAACAAUAUGGCUAAGGCAACACUUAUUUAGGAAAUAUUUGACUGAAGUGGUCUUACAGUUUCAGAGGUUGUGGUAGUUUGAAUGAUUGGCACACUAUUUGAAGGUGUGGCCUUGUUGGAGGAAGUGUGUCAUUGUGGGCAUAGACUUUAAGACCCUUCCCCUAAACUUGUGGGAGCCAGUCUUCUCCUAGUGGCCUUCAGAUGAAGAUGUAUAACUGUCAACUCCUUCUGCACCAUGCCUGCCUGCACGUGUCCAUGUUCCUACCUUGAUGAUAGUGGACUAAACCUGAUAAUAGUGGCCAGCUCCAAUGAAAUGUUGUCCUUAUAAGAGUUGCCUUGGUCAUGGUGUCUAUUCACAGCAGUAAAGCCCUAAGACACAAACUGGUACCAGGGACUUGGGUAUCACUGAGAUAAGCCUGACAAUUGGAAGAAUAUGAAUUUGAGGACUUUGGACUUGGGUAUCACUGUGAUAAGCCUGACAAUUGGAAGAAUAUGAAUUUGAGGACUUUGGAUUUGGAAAGCAUUUGGAUGCUUUAAGUGUGACUUAAUGGGCAAUCCUGGUAGGAAUAUGGAAGACUUUGUUGCUGAGAGUGACUUGAACUGUUCAGACAUGAUCCAAAAUGUUUCAGUGUAGAAAAGCUUCAGUAUGUGGCAUAGAGACUUGUUUUGUGGAUUUUUUUUUUGAAGAAUGUGGCUGCUUUUUGCCCUUGUCUGAAGAGUCUACCCGAGGCUAAGGUAAAGAGAUUUAUAGUAACUGAAUUGACAAAGAAAAUCUCAAAAGAGCCCAGCAUAGACUUUGUUCUCUGGUUUAGUCUUAUGAAGAGCGUUUUAAUGAGAAGUAUCAAACUGAGAAAGGAAAAAUGAAAAAUGUGUGGUUUAAGUUAUAAAAGGGAACCAGGAAGUGAAAGGGAGACGAAUCUUGUAUUCAAAAAGAUAAAGAGAUUAAGGUUGUGGCGAUAUCAGGGCAAGAUCCCACCCAGCAAAGCUUAUUGUUUUUGUUUGCAGUUGAAGAAAAAAUAGUUUGGAUUUUUAAUUUGCAUUGAACUACAAUCCAGAAAUGUGGGGGCACACUUGUGAUCCAGAUCUUGAGUCUGGAAGACACAGGCUUUCUUUCUGGAUCUUGAGGAACACUGGUGAUGAAAAGCCUAUGCCCAGACAUGGUGGUACACUCAUGUAAUACUAGAUUAUGUCAAGCAGAUCUCUGAGUUCAAGGCCAGUGUGGGACAGAGCAAGUUCUAAGCAAAGUAAAGCAUAAAUCCAGGCACAGUAGUACAAAUGUUUAAUCCCAGCAUUUGGGAGACAGAGACAUACAGAUCUCUGAGUUCAAGGUCAAUCUACAGGGCAAGAUUCAGCACAGCCAAGCUUAGGCAGUGAGAGAGUUGGAAAACAGAAAGCUAAGGGUGGCUCUAUUCUAGCUCCAGCAACUACUGGGACAAUUGAUGCUGGUUAGCUGGAGCUAAGAAAUUAGUGGUGAUUAGGAACAGACUAGCAUCACUGAGGUGAAAUCUUCUGAGAAGUGUUUUCUGAGAGCACAAAGCAUUUGUGUUCUAGAGAUAGUCAAGAUUGUACCCAUGCUGCAACCUUGGUAAUUGUGUAAGAGUCACCCAGGUGGUACUGGUUGUAAAGGUAUGAAGGCAUAAUGGAGAGCAGCUGAGACUUGUCACUGUAAGAGGCCAGGGAAGGCCAUUGGUAGAGGUGCAGCCUCAGUUACAGUUGAUGGCCAAGGACUGAAGGUGUCAUGUAAAAGUUAAGGUUUGGCACCAUGGAGAAGCCUAGUUGCAGCAGACGAUCCCAGCAUAUUGUAGAUGCCAGUACCAUCACAAGAACAUCAGAGGAGUGGAGUGAACAAGAGCCUAGAGUACUACAGAGGGCAGAGCUGGAGAAGUGACACAAGCCUAUUGGAGUAGCCUAGAAGAUCGUGUAUGGAUCCCAGAUAUUGGAACAAGAAACUGUGAAAUUCAAGUUCACUUGGAGAUCCCAAGACAUUAAAGAUGUCAGAGUUGUGGUAUAUCUGCUGAGGAAACCUUCCAACAGGACGGAGAAUCAGCCCAAGAGAAAGCAGUUUGUACAAGCAACAAAGACAAAAAUGGAGUUGGAGAUCUGAUGACAGCUUUGAAAUCAGAAAUGGAGAUUCGGAGUUUGGAGUUUGCCCAGCUGGUUUCCUGUCUUGCUUAUGGAUUACAGUUAAGUGAUUGGAUAAGUAUCAGAAGAGACUUUGAACUUUGGAUUUUUAAUAUUGUUGAGACUGCUAUAGACCACGGGGACUUUGGAAGUUGGACUAAACUUAUCUUUAUUAUACUUUGGCUAAGUAUGGCCCCCAUAUACUCAUGUGUUUGAACAAGCCUAAGGGGGGCGGGCAGGGGAUAGAAUGUGUUAGUUUGAAUAAACUUGGCCCAGUAUGUGGCACUAUUUGGAAGUGUGGUCUUGUUGGAGGAAGUGUGUCAUCAUGGGUGUGGGCUUUAAGGCACUCCUUCUAACCAUCUAACCAUGUCUUCUCCUAGUGUCUUUUAGAUGAAGAUGAAGAACUCUCAGCUUCUCCUGCACCAUGCCAGCUGGAUGCUGUCAUCCUCCUUCCUUGAUUAUAAUAGACUGAAAAUGAACCUAUAAGCCAGCCUCAAUUAAAUAUUGUCCUUAUAAGAGUUGUUUUGGUUAUGGUGUCUGUUCUAGCAGUAAUAACUAAGAUAGAGCUUCAGUCCAUUAUCAUCAUAUCAGGAAGCAUGGUAGCAUCCAGGCAAACAUGGUGCUGGAGAAGGAGCUGCAACUUGUACAUCUUGUUACAAAGACAGCCAGAAAAACUCUAUCUUCCACAGACAGUCAAGAGGAGCGCCACUUCUGGAAUGGACAGAGCUUCAGCACUAGGAAAUAUCAAAGCCUCUAGACAGUGAAAAACUUAAUCUAAGACCACAACUAUUCCAACAAAUCCUCACCUCUGAAUAGUGUCACUUCCCAUGGUCUAAGUAUAUACAAACCACCAGAGGAGGUCUCCCAAAGUUUUUGGAAUAUUUCUAGCUCAAGACCCAGCUAUACUACUCCUGAACAUAUAUCAAAAAAAAAAAGUUCCAUCAUACAAAAUAGAUACUUGCUCAACUAUUUUCCUAGCAGCUUUAUUUGUAAUAACCAGAAAUUAGAAACAACCCAGAUGUCCCUCAACUGAAUGAAGAUUAAAAAAAAAAAGUACAUUUACACAAUGGAAUAGUACUCAGCUACUAAAAACAAAUCAUGAAAUUUGCAGGAUAAUGGAUGGAACUAGAAAAUAUCAUUCUGAGUGAGGUAGCCUACACACAGAAAAACAAACAUGGUAUGUAGUCACUUAUAAAUACCCAUAAAGUAAAGGAUAACCAAGCUACAAUCCACAGCCCCAAAGAAGCAAAACAAAAAAUUGGGAUCAGGGGAGUAUGCUUGAGUGUCACUGAGAAAUGGAAAUAAAAUAGACAUCUGGGAUGGAUGGAGGGAGAAAAGUGGGCAGGAGAGUGGGAUAGAGAGGGGAACAGGAGUGAUCCAGUAUGUAGAGAAUGUGAGGAGAGAAAACUAGGAGAGAGAACUGGAAUGGAGGAGGGAGAAAUAUUUCAGGAAAAGCUAGAAAUCCAGGACAAUGGAAACUCCUGGGAAUAUAUGAGGGUGACCAUACCUAAAACUCCUAGCAGUAGGGGAAUACAGAAUAUAAAAUUGUUGCCUCUUGUAACCAGACAAGACUUCCAAUGGGGAUAUUAACCUAACCACAGUUUUUCCUUUUAUAAGAAGUGCAGAGAUAUGGAGGGAACAAAAAGGGAGGGAAUGGACAACCAAGGAGUGGCCCAACUUGAGUUUCAUGCCAUGAGAGAACCUAACCUUGGUACUAUUAAUAUUAUUCUGCUAUACUUCAUAGAGAAGGCUAGUAUAACAAUCAUCAGAGUGGCUUCACAGGACAGAUGAAAAUAAGAUGUUGAGACCCAAGGCCAAACAGUAGGCAGAGCUUGGGCAAUCUACUAGAACGGGGAGAAAGGAAAGGAAGAAGCAGGAGAAGAGGACCUGUAAUGCCUCUGAGGAAUUUCUCUCAAUAGAUUGCAUUGAUUCAAUGGACAAUUACUUGUUUAAUUGGAGAAAUUAAACACUCAGCAAUUCUGUUAUGAAGAAGUGGAUAUUUAAGUGGGUAAAAUAACAGAACUUCUCUAAGCUCGAGGUUUCUCAUUUACAAAGUGAGGCAUUAAAUGAUCUCAUAGGGCCUUCUCAAAACUCUAAUAUUCUUUAAUUCUUUCUACUAUAUUUCAUAAAUCACAGUCUGUGUAGACAGAAAGAUCACUAGCAAGUGUGGAGAACUGCUCUAAUUUUCUUUUUAAGUGAAAAUAAUGUUAUUGACUCCAUGGGGAGAAGAAGGAGGUUACUGAAUGACCUUGCCCCUGUACACAAGUAAGAUGUUGAGAUCUGUCACUUGAUGCACACAGCUACAGCCAGUGAGCACCCUAUGUUUCCAAAACUCCAAGCUGAAUUAACUGUGUCAACCAGGAUUGUACAUUUCUGCAUAGAGUUGGAAAUUCAAUAUUCAUCAGUUCAAGUUAACCUCCCCAAAUGGUACACCUACUAAUCUGGUCUCUUUUCAUUUAUAUGGCAUGAAUUAAUGCAUGCUGUGGAAAAUACAAAGCCACCCUCCAACUUCAAUCAGGUCCUUCUUCAUAAUGGGGACCACUGAAAACUUUGGUCUGUGAUCUACCUAUGCCAUUUCCCCCUGUCUGUACACUAUAAACUAUUCCUCCUAUUCUAGUCUGAAAGCAGAGCCAUGCUCCACACACAAAUCCUUUUUCUGCUGUUACAAUGGGCAGUUAUCUAAGUGACUCAAACUGAUAAUUUUAAAUCUCUGUGAUGGUACAACCCCUUAAUUUAAGAAUAUCAAAGUUUUAAUUUUAAUCAAGAUGGGCGUGGUGGCACACACCUUUAGUCCCAGCACUUGGGAGGCAGAGGCAGGCGGAUUUCUGAGUUCAAGGCAAGCCUGGUCUACAAAGUGAGUUCCAGGACGGCCAAGGCUAUACAGAGAAACCCUGUCUCGGGGAAAAAAAAAAGCAAUAAUUCUAAUCAAGUGGACAGUAAAGCCCUGUGGAGAUCAAGGGCACUUGAAACAAUUCAACAGAGCCUCAUAAACAUUUUUUUCUAAAAGGCUGGAGGUACAACCAUUCUAGAUUAAAUAUGUCUUCCCAGGGAGAAAUAACAUCAUGAAAUUAAGAAAGAAAUAAAUGGGGAAAUUUUUCUUGAAGAAUAGCAUGAAACCAGUUCUGGCUAAAGCUCAAAGAAGAGGCAGCCUACAACACAUUUUGGAUUCAAUAUAUGCUGGCUCAGGCCUCAGGUUACCCUUUGAACAAUUUAAAUACAGACUUCAAUUCUAACCACUUAAGCAGAAGGGAGAUUUACACAGCACAGCAAAAAUAUUCCCAGAAAUAAUUCUUCAGUACACUAAUGUCAUGAAACCGCAGAUCAUUCCUCACUGACACAGUCCAUAGGUGAAUAAGACAGAUGAUGAACAAGAUUGGGAAAGUACAAGGAGCAAAAGAAAAAAGCUGGGGUGGGGAGGUCUUAACACAAUCCAUGAUUAAUGCAAAGUAGGCUUCUUAAAAAGGAUACUACUUCAAGGGGAAAGGGAAGGAAAUGGGAGACUUCUAUGAAGACAGUAGAAACAAUAAUAUAUUGGUACAAAUUCAGAAGAAGGUUAACUGAAAGUUCCUGAGAGAGAAGAGUGAAAAAUUAUGUAAGCCCCUAGACUUGUGUCCAAAAUAGACCUCACUAAUGGCAGGAAGUAAAAGUUUAACUCGCCCCAUUGUUUCAGGAUGUACUAACCACAAAGUAGAAGUUUAACUUGCUCCAUUGUUUUAGGAAACGUUUGUACAGAAUACUCCAACCGUUUCUUGAACCCAUUAUGCUUGCCAAAUGCUAUAGCUCCAUGCCAGGUGUUUGCGGUUUCUGCCUUUAUAAAUCCCUUACCCUUUGAGCUCAGGGUCGACUCCUCUACCCCUGCGUGGGAUACAGGUCAUCCUCAGUGCACUGUCCUUUCCUGAUUAAACCUCUUGCUGUUUGCAUCAA